UCAGGUAGGGAUACCCGCUGAACUUAAGCAUAUCAAUAAGCGAGAAAAAA
This 50-nucleotide ribosomal RNA is filed under the name Podosphaera macrospora. Its description in RNAcentral is "partial 28S ribosomal RNA". Lineage: Eukaryota; Fungi; Ascomycota; Leotiomycetes; Helotiales; Erysiphaceae. The record is from RNAcentral.